UCCCGUUUAGCUCAGUUGGUAGAGCGCGUCACUAGUACCGUGUAAGCGGGCGAUGACGAGGUCAGUCGUUCGAGUCGGCUAAUGGGAA
This 88-nucleotide transfer RNA is filed under the name Trametes sanguinea. RNAcentral's name for it is "tRNA-Thr". It matches the Rfam family "tRNA". From Rfam's summary of the family: Transfer RNA (tRNA) molecules are approximately 80 nucleotides in length. Their secondary structure includes four short double-helical elements and three loops (D, anti-codon, and T loops). Lineage: Eukaryota; Fungi; Basidiomycota; Agaricomycetes; Polyporales; Polyporaceae. The record is from RNAcentral.